This 370-nucleotide unclassified non-coding RNA is filed under the name Hevea brasiliensis (rubber tree). The record is from RNAcentral. Lineage: Eukaryota; Viridiplantae; Streptophyta; Magnoliopsida; Malpighiales; Euphorbiaceae.
GCCUUCUCAAAUUUGGGAGAAGUGGUCUUGAUAGGUGCCCAGAGAUCUGCGCCAUUGCUGCGAGCAACUCCAACAGUGCAAGAGAUUGGAACAAGACAUAAACCUCUGCUUCUCAGGCUGUAUUGAUCUAAUUCCUGUAGCUGAGCUGCUGGUAUACUUUGUAGGUAUGGAGCACUCAACACCUUAACUUGUUCAUGAAGAAAUUGUAUGUAUUCCAUUGCCUCCAGAAGGACAGAUGCUGUAUCUGUCUUCCCAUAUGGUGAGACAAGCUGCUGCAGAGCUACAAUGCGUUCACCUAGCUUCUCUUUCCUCUCCUUUGUCGAGAUAGAAAGAUCAGCCUUAUGACGUUUAUUUGCAAGAGAAGUAAGAC